UGCAUUCGUACUCUCCCACCCCACAGCCACAGCUGCUCCAGCAGUUGAAUGUUUUCCACUCCUCCAGAGGACCUCUUCUUUCAGCCCAGCCUCCCCGAGGAUUUUCACUGGGCCAAAGGAGAGUUUGGGCCCCACACACCAAAGCUGUGGAUGGAACAGAACCCCCGAAGUCGUGGUCAGGGGUCUGCACAGGUUGUGGCGAGGUGUCCCCAUUUCUGACCCUUGGGCUCUGCAGGUGGCAGUGAGGAGGGAGCAAAGCCCCUUGCUCCGUGCUGCAGAAGGAAGGACAGAGCGGGCUAUGGGGUAAAACCGGUUCUAUAUUUAAGGGCUGCUCUGGGUUGUUAUGGCAACAGGAAUUCCAGCCACCACCGCGGGCUCCUCCGACGCCUCCCUGCCAUCCUCUGCAGAGCCCAACUUUGCAUCACGCAGCAGCCUCCUGCCUAACGCUUGGGCUGAACGGGAGCGGAAAAAAUGUGCAGCUCAUCUUCUCACAGAGCUUUAUCCUGCGGGAGCGGAAAGCAAACGAGAACGGCUCUAACAACUGCCCGUGGAUACGGGCACCAAAACCCAGCUCCAGCAGCUGAAGGGUUCAGACCCUCUCAGCCUGUGGGGCCCACAGGGACCCCCGGCAUGGCAAAGCCAGCAGCUAUCAUGCUGGAAUUCAUAAACAGAAAAGCUGUAUGUGAGACACAUGCCCUGCUACUUCAGCCUCGGCUGGAGUCCUGCAUCCAAGUUUGGGCACUGCUCAUCAAGAAAGUCAGGCCCCAACUGGCGAGAGCCCAGAGGGCAGCAAAAGGAGUGACCAGGGACGCAGAAAGCAGCCUCUGAGGAGAGGUGGAGGAAAGUGGGCCAGCUCAUGGAAACAGAAGGCAGAGCAGAGAUGGGGGAAGAGCUUUCCCUUCAUAAAAAGCUUCCCUAGAAGA
This is a long non-coding RNA of Cyanistes caeruleus (blue tit), 923 nucleotides long. RefSeq lists it as uncharacterized. The record is from RefSeq and is a predicted model, not a curated record. Lineage: Eukaryota; Metazoa; Chordata; Aves; Passeriformes; Paridae.